AUGUCCAGGUACAGGUCGUCCUGCUGCUCCAGGCGGUGCAGCUCCUGCGGCGUGGAGCUGCGGCUCUUCUUCACGCCGGGAGAGGAGGACGAGCUGCGGCGUGAGCAGGGGGGCGCGGUGGCCCAAGCCGAGCGCCGCUCGCUCUUACGCUUCAUGGAGGCGGUCGCGGCCCGUCAGGGGACCGCGACCAUGGCCCGGCAACCCGGCCCGGGUCCUCGCGCUGCGUCUCCCGCCGCCCGCGACCCGGGGGCCCCACAGCGCUGGCCGGUGGCUGGAGCAAAGCGCGCGCUCCCUGGGACGCUGCUGCCGUGGCGUCCGAGCUCAGCGGGCCGCGGCUCCCGGGGACCCCCAGGAGGGAUGUUCCGUGGAGCUUCAUUCACAAAAAGAAGGGCCCACAACCCUCCUCGGGGCCUACCGGCUCGGGCCGCUCAUUGGUCAGUGCGGCGUGACGUCACGCAACUGGAGCCUUCCUACAGGUGUUGACGCCUCAGUCCCCAGUUCCUCGAGUGAGUCUCCGAGUUCCUGCACAACCCUACCCUAAUAACUCCACUUCGGAUCUUUGAGAUGGAAUUUUUUUCUUUUUUAAGUGUUUCUUGGGUCUCCCCUGUAAUUCGCGCCAAGGGAGCCUUGUCAUGGCCGCCUGCUAGGAGAGUGUGUAGGCUGCUGAAACGGUCCGCAGCUCUGUGGACGCAAGGCAGAGUGGACCUCAGAACUUAGAAGUUCAGACCAGCGCCGUUUUCCCACCUAUCCGAUCGGAUCGGGGCGAUAAGGGCUUCCUAGCGUCGGUGAAACCACCUGGAGAUGCGAUUUACCGCGGUGGUUUGAACCUUCCGACACCUCACCUCGGAACCCAGGAGCGCGCUAGCUCUUGCUGUGGGUAGCCGAGGUGGCCACGGUCCGACUUAGCACGAAGUGUUGGAGCAUGUGGCCAGCUGAGCAAACGGCCUUUUCUCCUUUGGGUCUGCAGUGGUACCGCCCCAUAUUUUGCUACUGGGUUAAAAAGAUAUCAGAUCUUUCUGGAACUUGACCAUAGCUGCCAUUUUGAAGAGCCCAGCUUCACGGUAGCAUCUACUUGGGCGAGGAGACUGGAAGCAGUCGGUAGUCCCAAAGUCCCCAUCGGCAGGCCUGUAGUCAACAGCGAUUUAGUCUGAAAGGGAAGUCAAGAGUCAGAGGGAUAAAUUUACCUCCUCCCCUCCCCCAAAGAACCUCUCAGAAAUGCAGAUUUCACGAAGUUCCUUCCCCUAGGGAAGGCUUCUUUUGUUUUGAAGCCCUACCUUAAGCCUGCUGCUUCGGAAAAGAUAAGAUACGGGACUGGCUUUCUUUAGCCAGGGGCCCUUAAGAACCUGCUUGUUCACCUUUCGGGUUUCCAUUGGACAUCAACGAAGGCCUUACAUUUAAAAUGUCUGUAGUGUUAGCAAAAACUUUUGCCCAGGAAGAGAAAGUCCUUCACGCGGUUCCAAGGACUUUUGUAUACUACUAUACA
RNAcentral lists this long non-coding RNA (1483 nucleotides) under Mus spicilegus (steppe mouse). Its description in RNAcentral is "lncRNA (ENSMSIG00000007738.1)". The record is from RNAcentral. Lineage: Eukaryota; Metazoa; Chordata; Mammalia; Rodentia; Muridae.